UACUUAGGGGGCUAGCGUUGUCCGGAAUCAUUGGGCGUAAAGCGCGUGUAGGCGGUCCGGUAAGUCCGCUGUGAAAGUCGGGGGCUCAACCCUCGAAUGCCGGUGGAUACUGUCGGGCUAGAGUGCGGAAGAGGCGAGUGGAAUUCCUGGUGUAGCGGUGAAAUGCGCAGAUAUCAGGAGGAACACCAAUUGCGAAGGCAGCUCGCUGGGACGUUACUGACGCUGAGACGCGAAAGCGUGGGGAGCAAACAGG
RNAcentral lists this ribosomal RNA (253 nucleotides) under uncultured bacterium. Its description in RNAcentral is "partial 16S ribosomal RNA". It matches the Rfam family "Bacterial small subunit ribosomal RNA", at positions 524 to 776 of the family's 1533-position model. The record is from RNAcentral.